GACAGUUAUGGAAUGAGCUUAAUCUUGUUACAGCAGGAGGUUGAGUCUGCCCCAGCAGCGAUGAGGAGAAUAAUUCAGCAUGGAAGUGAUUUUGCAAUUCAGAGAACAAGUACGAUUGUAGUGGAGUGACCUCUUUAGGUAACACAAGGCAUGACCAACUUUCUAGAGGAAUGCUUGGCACCCUCCACUCUGAUGAGUGUGCUGUGGACCUUUCUAGUUCAGUUCUGUUUUUUGGCAUCCCCAGAUACUUUUUGGGGAUAACAAUUCAAAACCAGCUAGGAAGUUUCUGUCCUAAGAUGUGGGCACAAGAAAGAGAGAGGGAUCCAGCUUGUUGGAAUGGCUAUCCAGUUGCUACAGGACAGGCAUUUGAUCUGUAAUGAAGCCUGCUUAAUUGUAGCAGUCAAUGAGAACUGAAACACAGUCUUGUUUCUGACCACUCUGUAACUGCAGGAACUUCUAAGGCAAUGAUUGUUAGCCACAAACAUGACCAAAGAAUGGUAGUAAAUAAAGAAGACAAGCAGAGAAGCCUUAUCAUUUUCUACCAUAUCCUGGAGAAUCCACUACUUCAGCAGCCUCUUGCCUAUGACUGAAUAACAUCAUCAACAGACUUCUGAGUUUACUUGAUUCAAGUACCACCCGCAGAGUCAUGAGUGACAAGUACUGUUAAUGCCAUAAAGCUCUAGAAACAGA
Long non-coding RNA from Passer domesticus (house sparrow), 690 nucleotides. RefSeq lists it as uncharacterized. Lineage: Eukaryota; Metazoa; Chordata; Aves; Passeriformes; Passeridae. The record is from RefSeq and is a predicted model, not a curated record. The transcript has 3 exons.